UUGGGUGUUUGCUGCUUUCCUUGUGGCUCACCUCAAAUGCGUCAGUGCACCUCUUGGUUGGACAUAGUACGGCGUGAUAAGUGUCUUCGCCGGCACCUCGGAAGAGGGUGGCCGAUCGAGAGCUCUGUGCUUUCAAACCGUCUUCAGACACUUUCUGACAACUUGACCUCAAAUCGAGUAGGACUACCCGCUGAACUUAA
Molecule: unclassified non-coding RNA, 200 nt
Filed under: soil metagenome
Description: partial contains internal transcribed spacer 2 and large subunit ribosomal RNA
Source: RNAcentral